AUUUUCAUGUGUUUUUUGUGUUUUACUUAAAAUGGCAAUUUGCCUCUGUCCUGGGAGAUAAUUGAAUUACUUCUCAAUUAUCUCCAGGGCAGAGGGGAGGAAACCGGGAUGCAUUAUGGGAAUAUUUUAUACCUGUAUGUCUUAAAGUGCCAUAUGUCUGUCUGUCAUUACAGUCUCCCAUUUGGUCCCCUAGGGGAGUAUCCACCAAGUGGGAGACCUGCAUACAUACGGGCGGGUAGCCCACAGUAAAGCCAGUUCUUGUUUUACCCUCAAUGCGGAGCUUGGUCUCGUUAUUGGGGGGAUUUACUACACACGGUUAGCGACUGAUUGCUGGAACCAUAAG
Non-coding RNA from Pelobates cultripes (western spadefoot toad), 343 nucleotides. The record is from the annotation of a GenBank genome assembly. NCBI's taxonomy places the organism in Eukaryota, Metazoa, Chordata, Amphibia, Anura, Pelobatidae.